RNAcentral lists this ribosomal RNA (320 nucleotides) under uncultured Prevotella sp. Its description in RNAcentral is "partial 16S ribosomal RNA". Lineage: Bacteria; Pseudomonadati; Bacteroidota; Bacteroidia; Bacteroidales; Prevotellaceae. The record is from RNAcentral.
GGAGUUUGGACCGUGUCUCAGUUCCAAUGUGGGGGACCUUCCUCUCAGAACCCCUACUGAUCGAUGGCUCGGUGGGCCGUUACCCCGCCGACUACCUAAUCAGACGCAUCCCCAUCCUAUAGCGGCAAGCCUUUGGUAUUCUUCAGAUGUCCUCGAAAUACAACAUAGAGUAUUAAUCCGACUUUCGCCGGGCUAUCCUCUACUAUAGGGAAGGUUGGAUACGCGUUACUCACCCGUGCGCCGGUCGCCAUCAACCAAAGCAAGCUUUGAUCAUGCUGCCCCUCGACUUGCAUGUGUUAAGCCUGUAGCUAGCGUUCAUC